Molecule: ribosomal RNA, 774 nt
Filed under: uncultured Neocallimastigales
Lineage: Eukaryota; Fungi; Neocallimastigomycota; Neocallimastigomycetes; Neocallimastigales
Description: partial large subunit ribosomal RNA
Rfam family: Eukaryotic large subunit ribosomal RNA
Source: RNAcentral
UACGACUACAUAUCAGGCAUAUCAAUAAGCGGAGGAAAAGAAACUAACUAGGAUUCCCUCAGUAACGGCGAGUGAAGCGGGAAGAGCUCAAAUUUGAAAUCUUCAAGGUUUUACCUUGACGAAUUGUAGUUUAAAGAAGUGUUUUCUGUUGGAGUUUUGGUAAAAGUUCUUUGGAAUAGGACAUCAUAGAGGGUGAGAAUCCCGUAUUUGACCAUUAUUUCCAGCUUUGUGAUACACUUUCAAAGAGUCGGAUUGUUUGGGAAUGCAGUCCAAAAUGGGUGGUAAAUUUCAUCUAAAGCUAAAUAUUGGCGAGAGACCGAUAGCGAACAAGUACCGUGAGGGAAAGAUGAAAAGAACUUUGUAAAGAGAGUUAAACAGUACGUGAAAUUGUCAAAAGGGAAGCGUUUGACACCAGUGUUGUUUCUACGAAAAUCAAUUUAUGAUGGCUUGAUGCUAAGCUUUAAGACUUUAUCCGCUUGUUGUUUAGUUUUCUUGUCUUUGUGAAUGCACUUUUCGUGGAACAAGUCAACAUCAAUUUCUUUUCGCUGUAAAAGGGUAAGAGGAAGGUGGCUUCGGCUUCGGUUGAAGUGUUUAUAGCCUUUUAUCUCUGCAGUCGGAGAGAUUGAGGUCUGCAGCGUAGACUCUUCGGGGUUAGAUACGUCGGUGCUAAGCUAUAGCUUUUCAUAGACAACUUGUUGACUAUGUUUAGUCAUGUGGCUUACCCGCUGGCGCUAUUUUACCUACGCUUAGGAUGUUGACUGAUAUGUAGUCGUA